GACGAACGCUGGCGGCGUGCUUAACACAUGCAAGUCGAACGGUGAAGCGCCUUCCUUUUUGGUGGGUGUGGAUGAGUGGCGAACGGGUGAGUAACACGUGAGUAACCUGCCCCCUUCUUCUGGAUAACCGCAUGAAAGUGUGGCUAAUACGGGAUAUUCUGGGUCUGUCGCAUGAUGGGUCUGGGAAAGAUAUUGUUUCGGUGGGGGAUGGGCUCGCGGCCUAUCAGCUUGUUGGUGGGGUGAUGGCCUACCAAGGCUGUGACGGGUAGCCGGCCUGGGAGGGUGGACGGUCACACUGGGACUGAGACACGGCCCAGACUCGUACGGGAGGCAGCAGUGGGGAAUAUUGGACGAUGGGCGCGAGCCUGAUGCAGCGACGCCGCGUGAGGGAUGGAGGCCUUCGGGUUGUGAACCUCUUUCGCCAGUGAAGCAGGCCUGCCUCGUUUGUGAGUGGGUUGACGGUAGCUGGAUAAGAAGCGCCGGCUAACUACGUG
This 494-nucleotide ribosomal RNA is filed under the name uncultured bacterium. Its description in RNAcentral is "partial 16S ribosomal RNA". It matches the Rfam family "Bacterial small subunit ribosomal RNA", at positions 28 to 507 of the family's 1533-position model. The record is from RNAcentral.